AUCUCUCCAGAUUCCUUACCCCUAGGACUUAACUAUUGGUCUGAGUGACUUAAAAGAAAGAAAAGUAAAACUGAAAUCAACUUAGAGUCCUCAGUGGCAUGCAAGUUCAUUUUAGACAGAU
RNAcentral lists this small nucleolar RNA (121 nucleotides) under Echinops telfairi (small Madagascar hedgehog). RNAcentral describes it as "Small nucleolar RNA SNORA61 (ENSETEG00000025342.1)". The record is from RNAcentral. Lineage: Eukaryota; Metazoa; Chordata; Mammalia; Afrosoricida; Tenrecidae.